GAUGAACGCUGGCGGCGUGCCUAAUACAUGCAAGUCGAACGAACAGACGCUGAUCUUGCUCCUCUCACGUUAGCCGAGGGCGGGUGAGUCACACGUGGAUAACCUACCUGUAAUACUGGUAUAACUUCGGGAAACCGGCUCUAAUACCAGAUAAUCUAUUGCACCACAUGGUUCAUUAGUGAAAGACGGUUUUGCUGUCACUUAUAGCUGCAUCCCCGCCGUAUUAGCUGGUUGGUAAGUUCACGGCUUACCAAGGCAACGAUGCGUAGCCGACGGGAGGGGGUGAUAGGCCACACUGGAACUGAGACACGGUCCAGACUACUAAGGGAGGCAGCAGUAGGGAAUCUUACGCAAUGGGGGAAAGCAUGACGGAGCAACGGGGAGCGAGUGAUGAAGGUCCUCGGAGCGUAAAAACGUGUUAUUAGUGAAGAACAACUGUGGAAGGAAAUAAGGCGGUAUUGACGGUAAUUAAUCAGAAAGCACCGGCUAACUACGUG
Molecule: ribosomal RNA, 497 nt
Filed under: uncultured bacterium
Lineage: Bacteria
Description: partial 16S ribosomal RNA
Rfam family: Bacterial small subunit ribosomal RNA
Source: RNAcentral